Molecule: transfer RNA, 77 nt
Filed under: Solimonas sp. SE-A11
Lineage: Bacteria; Pseudomonadati; Pseudomonadota; Gammaproteobacteria; Nevskiales; Nevskiaceae
Description: tRNA-Arg
Rfam family: tRNA
About the family: Transfer RNA (tRNA) molecules are approximately 80 nucleotides in length. Their secondary structure includes four short double-helical elements and three loops (D, anti-codon, and T loops).
Source: RNAcentral
GCGCCUGUAGCUCAGUUGGAUAGAGCAACGGCCUUCUAAGCCGUGGGUCGGGGGUUCGAUUCCCUCCAGGCGCGCCA